RNAcentral lists this ribosomal RNA (495 nucleotides) under Durinskia baltica. RNAcentral's name for it is "partial Bacterial large subunit ribosomal RNA". It matches the Rfam family "Bacterial large subunit ribosomal RNA", at positions 855 to 1357 of the family's 2925-position model. Lineage: Eukaryota; Dinophyceae; Peridiniales; Kryptoperidiniaceae. The record is from RNAcentral.
CUCCGCGAAAUCUAUUUAGGUAGAGCGUCGGAUGUAUUCUUCGGGGGGUAGAGCACUGGAUGGAUGCGGGCUGCGCGAGUGGUACCAAUUCUAACCAAACUCCGAAUACCCGAAAGAACUGUCCGGCAGACACACAGCGGGUGCUAACGUCCGUUGUGAAAAGGGAAACAACCCUAACCGCCAGCUAAGGUCCCCAAAUAACGGCUAAGUGGGAAACGAUGUGGGAUUGCUUUGACAACCAGGAUGUUGGCUUAGAAGCAGCCAUCAUUUAAAGAAAGCGUAACAGCUCACUGGUCAAGCGAUCCUGCGCGGAAAAUGUAACGGGGCUCAAGCCGUUUACCGAAGCUGCGGACUCGAGAGAGUGGUAGCGGAGCGUUCCCUACGCCAGUGAAGCAGAGGCGUGAGCCUCUGUGGAGGUAUGGGAAGUGAGAAUGCUGACAUGAGUAGCGACAAAGAGGGUGAGAUGCCCUCUCGCCGAAAGACCAAGGGUUCCUG